CGUUUACCACGGUGUGGUUCAUGACUGGGGUGAAGUCGUAACAAGGUAGCCGUAGGGGAACCUGCGGCUGGAUCACCUCCUUACAUA
Molecule: ribosomal RNA, 87 nt
Filed under: Legionella pneumophila
Lineage: Bacteria; Pseudomonadati; Pseudomonadota; Gammaproteobacteria; Legionellales; Legionellaceae
Description: partial 16S ribosomal RNA
Rfam family: Bacterial small subunit ribosomal RNA
Source: RNAcentral